This 192-nucleotide ribosomal RNA is filed under the name Triticum aestivum (bread wheat). RNAcentral describes it as "partial small subunit ribosomal RNA". The record is from RNAcentral. Lineage: Eukaryota; Viridiplantae; Streptophyta; Magnoliopsida; Poales; Poaceae.
AUGAAUGUUGCUACUGGGGUGAAGGAGAACAUCCAGCUCAUGGAGGGGGGCUUCACAUGGUCGCCGAUCCAAUACCUUGAUUGUCGUGAGGCGCUCGUGUGGAAGUGCAAGAUGGACUACGAGGAAUCGCAGAAGUACAAGGAAUGGAAGUUCAUAUUUGAGAAGGAAAAUAUUGUACAUGAGAAUUGGUAG